CGGGACACGUGGUAUCCUGUCUGAAUAUGGGGGGACCAUCCUCCAAGGCUAAAUACUCCUGACUGACCGAUAGUGAACCAGUACCGUGAGGGAAAGGCGAAAAGAACCCCGGCGAGGGGAGUGAAAAAGAACCUGAAACCGUGUACGUACAAGCAGUGGGAGCCUCUUAAUGGGGUGACUGCGUACCUUUUGUAUAAUGGGUCAGCGACUUAUAUUCUGUAGCAAGGUUAACCGAAUAGGGGAGCCGAAGGGAAACCGAGUCUUAACUGGGCGUUAAGUUGCAGGGUAUAGACCCGAAACCCGGUGAUCUAGCCAUGGGCAGGUUGAAGGUUGGGUAACACUAACUGGAGGACCGAACCGACUAAUGUUGAAAAAUUAGCGGAUGACUUGUGGCUGGGGGUGAAAGGCCAAUCAAACCGGGAGAUAGCUGGUUCUCCCCGAAAGCUAUUUAGGUAGCGCCUCGUGAAUUCAUCUCCGGGGGUAGAGCACUGUUUCGGCAAGGGGGUCAUCCCGACUUACCAACCCGAUGCAAACUGCGAAUACCGGAGAAUGUUAUCACGGGAGACACACGGCGGGUGCUAACGUCCGUCGUGAAGAGGGAAACAACCCAGACCGCCAGCUAAGGUCCCAAAGUCAUGGUUAAGUGGGAAACGAUGUGGGAAGGCCCAGACAGCCAGGAUGUUGGCUUAGAAGCAGCCAUCAUUUAAAGAAAGCGUAAUAGCUCACUGGUCGAGUCGGCCUGCGCGGAAGAUGUAACGGGGCUAAACCAUGCACCGAAGCUGCGGCAGCGACGCUUAUGCGUUGUUGGGUAGGGGAGCGUUCUGUAAGCCUGUGAAGGUGUACUGUGAGGUAUGCUGGAG
RNAcentral lists this ribosomal RNA (860 nucleotides) under Escherichia coli. RNAcentral describes it as "partial 23S ribosomal RNA". It matches the Rfam family "Bacterial large subunit ribosomal RNA", at positions 418 to 1278 of the family's 2925-position model. Lineage: Bacteria; Pseudomonadati; Pseudomonadota; Gammaproteobacteria; Enterobacterales; Enterobacteriaceae. The record is from RNAcentral.